UACGUAGGGGGCUAGCGUUGUCCGGAAUCAUUGGGCGUAAAGAGCGUGUAGGCGGUCCGGUAAGUCCGUUGUGAAAGUCAGGGGCUCAACCCUUGAAUGCCGGCGGAUACUGUCGGGCUAGAGUCCGGAAGAGGCGAGUGGAAUUCCCGGUGUAGCGGUGAAAUGCGCAGAUAUCGGGAGGAACACCCGUGGCGAAGGCGGCUCACUGGGCUGACCUUGACGCUGAGGAGCGAAGGCGUGGGGAGCGAACGGG
RNAcentral lists this ribosomal RNA (253 nucleotides) under uncultured bacterium. RNAcentral's name for it is "partial 16S ribosomal RNA". It matches the Rfam family "Bacterial small subunit ribosomal RNA", at positions 524 to 776 of the family's 1533-position model. The record is from RNAcentral.